GGUGAGUAAUGUCUGGGAAACUGCCUGAUGGAGGGGGAUAACUACUGGAAACGGUAGCUAAUACCGCAUAACGUCGCAAGACCAAAGAGGGGGACCUUCGGGCCUCUUGCCAUCGGAUGUGCCCAGAUGGGAUUAGCUAGUAGGUGGGGUAACGGCUCACCUAGGCGACGAUCCCUAGCUGGUCUGAGAGGAUGACCAGCCACACUGGAACUGAGACACGGUCCAGACUCCUACGGGAGGCAGCAGUGGGGAAUAUUGCACAAUGGGCGCAAGCCUGAUGCAGCCAUGCCGCGUGUAUGAAGAAGGCCUUCGGGUUGUAAAGUACUUUCAGCGGGGAGGAAGGGAGUAAAGUUAAUACCUUUGCUCAUUGACGUUACCCGCAGAAGAAGCACCGGCUAACUCCGUGCCAGCAGCCGCGGUAAUACGGAGGGUGCAAGCGUUAAUCGGAAUUACUGGGCGUAAAGCGCACGCAGGCGGUUUG
Molecule: ribosomal RNA, 481 nt
Filed under: Escherichia coli
Lineage: Bacteria; Pseudomonadati; Pseudomonadota; Gammaproteobacteria; Enterobacterales; Enterobacteriaceae
Description: bacterial SSU rRNA
Rfam family: Bacterial small subunit ribosomal RNA
Source: RNAcentral